GGGUUUACCCAUUGGUCAGGCUUAAUUGUCUGUACUGGUGAGAUAAAUCUCUACCUUCUGAGGAACUUUCAUGCCAUUUAUUUGGUGUGAUGGGAAAUCAGGACUGUUACUUUGAAAAAUUAGAGUGUUUAAAGCAGGCUAACGUCUGAAUACAUUAGCAUGGAAUAAUGAAAUAGGACGGACUGAUUCUAUUUCGUUGGUUUCUAGGAUCACCGUAAUGAUUAA
This 225-nucleotide ribosomal RNA is filed under the name uncultured Glomeromycotina. RNAcentral describes it as "partial small subunit ribosomal RNA". The stretch from base 44 to 225 matches the Rfam family "Eukaryotic small subunit ribosomal RNA", at positions 689 to 872 of the family's 1831-position model. Lineage: Eukaryota; Fungi; Glomeromycota. The record is from RNAcentral.